GAUGAACGCUGGCGGCGUGCCUAAUACAUGCAAGUCGAGCGAACGGACGAGAAGCUUGCUUCUCUGAUGUUAGCGGCGGACGGGUGAGUAACACGUGGAUAACCUACCUAUAAGACUGGGAUAACUUCGGGAAACCGGAGCUAAUACCGGGUAAUAUUUUGAACCGCAUGGUUCAAAAGUAAAAGACGGUCUUGCUGUCACUUAUAGAUGGAUCCGCGCUGCAUUAGCUAGUUGGUAAGGUAACGGCUUACCAAGGCAACGAUGCAUAGCCGACCUGAGAGGGUGAUCGGCCACACUGGAACUGAGACACGGUCCAGACUCCUACGGGAGGCAGCAGUAGGGAAUCUUCCGCAAUGGGCGAAAGCCUGACGGAGCAACGCCGCGUGAGUGAUGAAGGUCUUCGGAUCGUAAAACUCUGUUAUUAGGGAAGAACAUAUGUGUAAGUAACUGUGCACAUCUUGACAGUACCUAAUCAGAAAGCCACGGCUAACUACGUG
This 497-nucleotide ribosomal RNA is filed under the name uncultured bacterium. Its description in RNAcentral is "partial 16S ribosomal RNA". It matches the Rfam family "Bacterial small subunit ribosomal RNA", at positions 28 to 507 of the family's 1533-position model. The record is from RNAcentral.